GGAAAGACCCCGUGCACCUUUACUGUAGCUUUGCGCUGGUAUUCGUGACUGUUUGUGUAGAAUAGGUGGUAGACUUUGAAGCCGUGGCGCCAGCCAUGGUGGAGUCGAAAUGUGAAAUACCACCCUAAUGGUUAUGGAUAUCUAACCGCAUCCCUUUAGCGGGGAUCGGGACAGCGCAUGGUGGGCAGUUUGACUGGGGCGGUCGC
RNAcentral lists this ribosomal RNA (206 nucleotides) under Oxyrrhis marina. RNAcentral describes it as "partial Bacterial large subunit ribosomal RNA". It matches the Rfam family "Bacterial large subunit ribosomal RNA", at positions 2082 to 2286 of the family's 2925-position model. Lineage: Eukaryota; Dinophyceae; Oxyrrhinales; Oxyrrhinaceae. The record is from RNAcentral.